Molecule: non-coding RNA, 554 nt
Organism: Maylandia zebra (zebra mbuna)
Lineage: Eukaryota; Metazoa; Chordata; Actinopteri; Cichliformes; Cichlidae
Source: RefSeq, a predicted model, not a curated record
CCUCACAGCCUACAGAGACCCCAGCCCCGACUACACACAGCUGUGCAGAUGCAGCUGCUCUGCCUGUGGGUAUACAUGAGACUCAGAGCAACAACCUCCAAGUUCUUCCUGAUGUAACAGAGCUUGUUGAAUCCAGCCAAGGCAGCCCUAUAACCUACCCACCUGUUCUGAUGCAACUCCAAUGCCAGGGCGACAGUGCUUGUGCUGGAAUGACCCCACCUUCCAGCAUGAUCUGCUCCCUGCUGUUCGAGGCCAUGUCCUCAGAACCUGGUGAUGAUGAUGGUGCUCCCAGACUACCUGUCCUGGCAUAUUUCAGUGAUGAGGAAGACUAUCCGAGAAGCCCGUCACUCUGAGGGAAUAGCAGUCGCUAAUUAACAAUAUUCUUCUGUAAAUAGUUAUCAAAGUGUUAAUCUCUCCAGAAUAGUUUUAUUAAAUAUUGUUUAUUGUUAAAAUGUUUUUUUCCAGUUACUGUUCAUUUGAACAAUAUACCAUCCAUGUUGUCUGUCAAUAAAAAUGUGCCAUCUCGGGAAGAUGCCACACCCAUCUGAUGGUAA